This 422-nucleotide ribosomal RNA is filed under the name uncultured archaeon. Its description in RNAcentral is "partial 16S ribosomal RNA". It matches the Rfam family "Archaeal small subunit ribosomal RNA", at positions 323 to 746 of the family's 1478-position model. The record is from RNAcentral.
CUACGGGGGGCAGCAGGCGAGAAAACUUUGCAAUGUGCGAAAGCACGACAAGGUUAAUCCGAGUGGUUUCUGCUAAAGGAACCUUUUGUCGGUCCUAGAAACACCGAUGAAUAAGGGGUGGGCAAGUUCUGGUGUCAGCCGCCGCGGUAAAACCAGCACCUCAAGUGGUCAGGAUGAUUAUUGGGCCUAAAGCAUCCGUAGCCGGCUCUGUAAGUUUUCGGUUAAAUCUGUAUGCUUAACGUACAGGCUGCCGGGAAUACUGCAUAGCUAGGGAGUGGGAGAGGUAGACGGUACUCGGUAGGAAGGGGUAAAAUCCUUUGAUCUAUUGAUGACCACCUGUGGCGAAGGCGGUCUACCAGAACACGUCCGACGGUGAGGGAUGAAAGCUGGGGGAGCAAACCGGAUUAGAUACCCGUGUAGUC